This 86-nucleotide transfer RNA is filed under the name Tilletia controversa (dwarf bunt fungus). It matches the Rfam family "tRNA". From Rfam's summary of the family: Transfer RNA (tRNA) molecules are approximately 80 nucleotides in length. Their secondary structure includes four short double-helical elements and three loops (D, anti-codon, and T loops). Further hydrogen bonds mediate the characteristic L-shaped molecular structure. tRNAs have two regions of fundamental functional importance: the anti-codon, which is responsible for specific mRNA codon recognition, and the 3' end, to which the tRNAs corresponding amino acid is attached (by aminoacyl-tRNA synthetases). tRNAs cope with the degeneracy of the genetic code in two manners: having more than one tRNA (with a specific anti-codon) for a particular amino acid; and 'wobble' base-pairing, i.e. permitting non-standard base-pairing at the 3rd anti-codon position. The record is from Rfam by way of RNAcentral. Lineage: Eukaryota; Fungi; Basidiomycota; Exobasidiomycetes; Tilletiales; Tilletiaceae.
GCCCUUUUAGCUCAGUGGUAGAGCGUUGCACUUGUAACUUACGCGUACACAUGCAAAGGUCGUUAGUUCAAUCCUGGCAGGGGGCA